This is an RNA transcript of Orcinus orca (killer whale), 5782 nucleotides long. It is a transcript of the gene named polynucleotide kinase 3'-phosphatase, with no coding region annotated. Lineage: Eukaryota; Metazoa; Chordata; Mammalia; Artiodactyla; Delphinidae. The record is from RefSeq and is a predicted model, not a curated record. The transcript has 17 exons.
AGGAAAAAAUGUGUGAACAGGGAAUCUACCCCCCCUACUGGCCUGCGUCUCAUACUGCAUCAGGAGAGACGAAGGUCAGACCAGCGGAGGGACCUUAGGAGCACUGUGUCUGGGAAAGGGCGGGGCUUACGGCAGGCGGAGCCAAAUGCCCCGCCCACUUUGAUAGGACGAGCCAUUUCCGUCCGCGGAGAAACAGAGGCAGCAGCCGGCCGAGUUGCGAGCAGAGCGCCUCCGGCAGGCCCUCCCUCGUCGGAAGCGGCGAGUGAGCCAAGCGGCGGGCAAGGGCCGGCUCCCAGGAUGGCCAGGGUGGAGGCCCAGGGCCGCCUGUGGCUGGAGAGCCCCCCUGGGGGAGCGCCUCCCAUCUUCCUGCCCUUGGGUGGGCAAGCCCUGGUGCUGGGCCGAGGACCCUUGACGCAGGUUACCGACCGGAAGUGCUCCAGAAACCAAGUGGAGCUGGUCGCUGACCCUGAGACUCGGACGGUGGCAGUGAAACAGCUGGGAGUUAACCCCUCAACUGCCGGGACUCAGGAGCUGAGAACAGGGUUGGAGGGUUCUCUGGGGGUGGGGGACACGCUGUAUUUGGUCAAUGGCCUCCACCCGCUGACCCUGCGCUGGGAAGAGGCUCACACGCCAGAAUCCCAGCCAGACACUCCACCAGGCACCCCUCCUGUGGCCCCGGAGGAGGAGGAGGAGGAGGAGGAUGAACAGCAGAAAAAGCGGAUAAGGAAGUCAUCCCCUGGCUGGGAGAGCUUCCAGAAGCUGCUAGUGUUCACGGCACCUGGUGUGAAGCCCCGGGGCAAGGUGGCCAGUUUUGAUCUGGAUGGGACCCUCAUCACCACACGUUCUGGGAAGGUCUUUCCCACUGGCCCCAGUGACUGGAGGAUCUUGUACCGAGAGAUUCCACAGAAGCUCCGGGAACUGGCUGCCGAGGGUUACAAGCUGGUGAUCUUCACCAACCAGAUGGGCAUUGGACGCGGGAAGCUGCCAGCGGAGUUGUUCAAGGCCAAGGUGGAGGCUGUGGUGGAGAAGCUGGGGGUCCCCUUUCAGGUCUUGGUGGCCACGCACGCAGGCUUGUACCGGAAGCCGGUGAUCGGCAUGUGGGACCACCUGCAGGGGCAGGCCAACGAGGGCGUGCCCAUCUCCAUCGGGGACAGCGUCUUUGUGGGAGAUGCAGCUGGACGCCCAGCCAGCUGGGCCCCCGGGCGCAAGAAGAAAGACUUCUCUUGCGCUGACCGCCUGUUUGCCCUCAACCUGGGCCUGCCUUUCGCCACGCCAGAGGAGUUCUUUCUGAAAUGGCCCGUGGCCCGCUUCGAGCUCCCAGCCUUUGACCCGAGGACCGUCUCCUGCUCUGGGCCUCUUUGCCUCCCCGAGUCCAGCUCCCUCUUAAGCUCAGACCCCGAGGUGGUUGUCGCCGUGGGAUUUCCUGGGGCUGGGAAGUCCACCUUCCUCCAGGAGCAUCUCGUGUCGGCCGGAUACGUCCACGUGAACAGGGACACUCUGGGCUCAUGGCAGCGCUGCGUGACCACGUGCGAGGCGGCCCUGAAGCAAAGGAAACGGGUCGUGAUUGACAACACGAACCCGGACAUCCAGAGCCGAGCCAGGUACCGGGGUCCCAGGGGCGGCCUCUGUAGGGUGGGCCCCGGGCCCUUUGCCAGCCCCCCACUUCCCCGGCCCCCACAGGUACAUCAAGUGUGCCCGAGACGCAGGCGUCCCCUGCCGCUGCUUCCUCUUCAGCACCACCCUGGAGCAGGCACGUCACAACAACCGGGAAGCAGCUCGAGGCCCCCACGCUGGCCGAAGGCUUCUCCGCCAUCCUGGAGAUCCCGUUCCGGAUCCACGUGGCGCCGCAGCUCGAGCGGCUGUACCGCCAGUUCUCAGAGGGCUGAGCCAACGCCCACCCCCACCUGCUCCCCACCCCACAAUAAAUGCUGUUUUUCUUCAUGUUUGACCAGCAUUUUGCUCCCAGCCGGGCUGGGAGCACAGACCCACCGGCCUGGUCUCCCAGGAAGGCACUGCUGGCAACUUUGCCUCAAACUAAACCCUCAGCCCACGUUGGGGACAACUGCAUCUCGCGGACGGGGGUUUCGGCUUCUCCAGCCUGUGGCUGCUGGCGCUCCAGAUGGGCACCAGGGCAUCCUGGCUGGCAGGGCCCGAGUGGAAUUCGCUGCACGCAGCUGCCAGCUGCAGAGCAAGCCCGGAGUUUUAGCAAGACUGACCCGGGGCCAAGAGCUGGAGCUCCGAUUCCGUGAGAAAUGAGGUGCUCUGCAUGCUGGACUUGAACCCCAGGGCUAUGGCCUGGACCUGCAGCAGCGAGGGGCGCCUGAGAGCCCGGCCAGGCCUGCCGCGUGCCACCAGUGCCAGAGGACUGGAACCGGCCUGGCAUUGCCUUGUGUUUGCUUCCAGCUAAGUGAGGCUUGUGGAACCCGCAGGACAAGGAGGGCAGCCUGCAACGCCGGGAGUCGGGGGAUGGACCCCAGGAGCAGCCGGCCAGCUGUGGAAAGACUCUGGAAGACACGGCCCAGCAAGCACCUUGCAGACCUGGCAGCUCCGUGAACUGCAGCUUCCCCUCCUGGCUCAGGUUCCGCUGCAGGACCUGCUGCUGAUUGGCGAUGACGCGCCGGAUGCCGUUGACGAAGUUGCUCUGGUCAUGGGGGAUGAGGCCGAUGAAGAUCUUCUUCUCAGAGGAGUACAGGAGCAUGAGCACGCGGAUCUCGCACGAGGCCUUGUAGGAAAAGUGCACGCAGCCGGCCUGGCGGUGUGGAGCAGUGUCACGGGCGGGCCCUCAGCGCAGACGCUCCUCCCCAUUGAGACACGGGCGCAAACCGCACGGGUCAGCGCCCUGGCAGACGGGCACCACGGAGCACGCUGGGCCUUCCCAGCCGCCGCCCUCAGCCCUGUCAACACUCCCACAGGACACCAGAGGUGCCUGCGCAAGGACCAGUGAGUGGGCUCUACAGCUGAGCCCAGGAGGCUGCCCGACGAGCUCCAGCGAGACUGUGGCCCCCACGCCGGCCAGCCAGUACCCAGGGUGCCCACGGGACCAGCCACGGCCGUGACCGCGACCACGCAGGAAGGCCGCGGCAGGGGAGAAACACCAGGGGCCAAUCUGGCCCCAGGAGGCCGGGCACCAGGGCUCCGUCCACUCUGCGACCCCCAGGCCAGCUGAGGGCGGGGAAGCUGGGCGGCGCUGAUCCACUGCGAUGCCGCCGUCACCGCGGCUUGGGACAUGGCUCAGCGUCACAGCGACCGCAGUGCCGACAGGCACCAAUCGCUCCCUGACGCCUUUCACAGGAUCCUCUCUCCAGGGCCCAGGGGUCACCGUCCCCAUCUUACAGGUGAGCAAACCCAGGCUGAGAGCUCGGGGACUCGCAGGCCCCCAGAGCCAGAAGGGGUUAUGCCUGCCCUCGGGCCUGUGUGCCACUACAGGGGCCAGUGCUGACAGGCAUCGAGGAGGAAGCCCCUCACAGCACCCCCGAGCCAACAGCCGAGGGAAGCCCGAGUGCGCCGAGGGAGCACCGGCCAUGGGCCUCGAGGCCUUAGUUUCCCUGAGGGAAUCCUGCUUUUAAACUCUUAAAUAACCAGCCCCUCAAAUGCACAGUGGCACAGCCAUGAUGACUUCGGCUGACUUAGAAACAUUACGCUAAUUCGAGGACAGCUAUGACCUGGUACAGCAAACACCCACAAAGCGGACACAGACAGCUGCGGCUUCAGAAGCACGAGGGCCAAGCUCCUCACUUCACAGAUGGAGAGACCGAGGCCCGCAGAGAGGGGAGAACUGGCCAAGGCCCACCAGCAGGUGAGCACCAGGGGCUUUCAGAGCUCGCUCCGGCUGGAGGCAGGCAGAUGCCCUGCCUGGUGAGGGCCUUGGGAGCCUCAGGUUUUCCACCCUGUCCCCGGGGAAAGGAGCAAGAGGAAGGCGGCAGUUUUUAAACACCAAGCGGCUCUGGCUCUGUCUGUCCCACCAUCAGCCCGGCCCUGGGCCCCACCAGCCCACUCACAAAGCCGUUGUCCAUGAUCCGGCACAGGCUCUUCAGCGUCUCCAGGUCCUUGGUGAAGUGGAACUGCACCAGGCGGGAGUUCCGGAAGAGCGGCACCAGGGUGGUCUGCAGGGAGGCCCCGAGGUGGCUGGGCCAGGCGCCAGGGCCCCGCAGCCCCUCAUGCCCACACGUCGGCAGGCCCCGCCCCGCCUACCGCCACUUGCUGGACAGGCAGCCUCCCCCAGGGCCCCAAGGUCGAGGCAAGCCGAGUGCCCCCUUCCCCACUCACCAGCAGCUGCUGCGGGAUGAGCUGCAUGUACAGCUUCCGCGGCCACUGCUCGGUCCUCCUGCAGGGAUGCGGGGACGAGGGUCAGGAGGCCAGGCCUCACCCAGAUGCCGCCCCCGCCCCCUGCCCGACACUCACAGGAUCUCCCCUUGGUUCACGUAGAUGUGCGACGGCAGCCACCUCUUAGACCGACUGUUAGGCUCAGGCCUGGGCUUUUGGGGGGUAAGAAGAGGGGAGCCGUCAGGAGUGGGAGGAUGCCCUGGUCCUGAGGUCACCCAGGCCCGCCCAGGGCUCACCUCCUGCCACUCCAUGACUCCACUCCAUGCCAGGAACUUGUUGUUGACCAUCUGGACAGGGCCCGCGACGCCACCAGGUCCCACUGCCUGGGGAGGAGACAGGUGGGCUGGUGCCCCAGGAGUUCCCCAAAGAACGCUGCCCAGACCCCUCCACGCCCCCAGUCCGUCAGUCCCAAGCUUAUCUACCUGCUGCCCCCAGGGCCCAGCCUGGCCCGGCCCGGCCUCUAGUCUGCCCACAGGCCCAGAGGAUUCCCCAGAGCGGGCCCUGCCCCUCACAGCACACCCCAUGCCCUGGGCCAAGCCCCCGCCAUCAGCCUGGGGGACAUGGCUCACAGGGUCUGCCUCUAAGAACUGGGCGGCUGUAUAACUUGCCACACAAACUGGGACACUUUUGGGUGAAGGGGUCACUGAAGAGCUGGAAAGGCGUGAGCCAGGAUUUGAGGUCACCCUCCUGCCACGAGUGUACCCUCCUGCCACGAGUGUGCCUGCCUGCCCAUCCGCCUCCCUGCUCCCCAUGGGCACCCCUCCUGCCGGGAACCACCCUGUCAGACCCCUCGACCCCCUCACCCUUCAAAGCCUCAGACACGUGUGGCGGCCGGGCCCAAGGGCACACCUGUUUGCGGGUGGUGAUGACCUGCCGGAUGGCAUUGACGAAGCCGCUCUGGUCGUAGGGGAUGAGGCCCAUGAAGAUCUUCUUCUUGGACGAGUACAGGAGCAUGAGCACGCGCACCUCGCAGGGGGAGAUGUGGGGGAAGAGCAUGCAGCCCGCCUGUGGGUGGGGGUGGGGAGGGAACGAUCAUCACGGGACAGAAAUCCUCAAGGUUAACACCAGGACCCUAAAUGACUGGUGUGUAGCCAGAACGUGUCGUUCUGGGAGCCUGUGAACGUGCACCCUGGUGUCCCCCCCACCGUGACUCUGGGGUCAGGACUGGGGCCCCAUGUGCUGGGUGAGGGUCCUGAGAGGGCUCCACCUGCCGCCCACGUGCCCCGAGGUCAUCCCUGUCCUGUGGAGUUUGCUGCUGGGCCCCGCUGACAGAGGCCACCAGGCCCGGGGGUUAAGAGCACAAACGCAGGACCAGACUGCCUGGGAGUAACCCUGGCUCUGCUACCUCCUAGCUGUGUGACCUAAGGCAGGUCACCCCUGGACCUCAGUUUCCCCACGUGUAAAACAGCACAACAACGGCGCACAGAGUAAGCGCCACAUAAACGCUCAUUACACAAGA